This 45-nucleotide non-coding RNA is filed under the name Echinostoma caproni. The record is from RNAcentral. Lineage: Eukaryota; Metazoa; Platyhelminthes; Trematoda; Plagiorchiida; Echinostomatidae.
GCACUGCUGACAAGUCCAAAACAGGACGAAACAGCUGUCCAGCAC